RNAcentral lists this ribosomal RNA (816 nucleotides) under uncultured bacterium. RNAcentral describes it as "bacterial SSU rRNA". It matches the Rfam family "Bacterial small subunit ribosomal RNA", at positions 613 to 1430 of the family's 1533-position model. The record is from RNAcentral.
CCNGGGAACUGCGUUCUGAACUGGGUGACUAGAGUGUGUCAGAGGGAGGUAGAAUUNCACGUGUAGCAGUGAAAUGCGUAGAGAUGUGGAGGAAUACCGAUGGCGAAGGCAGCCUCCUGGGAUAACACUGACGUUCAUGCCCGAAAGCGUGGGUAGCAAACAGGAUUAGAUACCCUGGUAGUCCACGCCCUAAACGAUGUCGAUUAGCUGUUGGGCAGCAUGACUGCUUAGUAGCGAAGCUAACGCGUGAAAUCGACCGCCUGGGGAGUACGGUCGCAAGAUUAAAACUCAAAGGAAUUGACGGGGACCCGCACAAGCGGUGGAUGAUGUGGAUUAAUUCGAUGCAACGCGAAGAACCUUACCUGGUCUUGACAUGUACGGAACCCUCCAGAGACGGAGGAGUGCCUUCGGGAGCCGUAACACAGGUGCUGCAUGGCUGUCGUCAGCUCGUGUCGUGAGAUGUUGGGUUAAGUCCCGCAACGAGCGCAACCCUUGUCAUUAGUUGCCAUCAUUAAGUUGGGCACUCUAAUGAGACUGCCGGUGACAAGCCGGAGGAAGGUGGGGAUGACGUCAAGUCCUCAUGGCCCUUAUGACCAGGGCUUCACACGUCAUACAAUGGUCGGUACAGAGGGUAGCCAAGCCGCGAGGCGGAGCCAAUCUCACAAAACCGAUCGUAGUCCGGAUUGCACUCUGCAACUCGAGUGCAUGAAGUCGGAAUCGCUAGUAAUCGCAGGUCAGCAUACUGCGGUGAAUACGUUCCCGGGUCUUGUACACACCGCCCGUCACACCAUGGGAGUGGGGGAUACCAGAAGUAGG